AAUGAACGCUGGCGGCAGGCCUAACACGUGCAAGUCGAACGGAUCCUUCGGGAUUAGUGGCGGACGGGUGAGUAACGCGUGGGAACAUACCCUUUGGUACGGAAUAGCCUCGGGAAACUGGGAGUAAUACCGUAUGUGGUCGAGAGACGAAAGAUUUAUCGCCAAAGGAUUGGCCCGCGUUGGAUUAGGUAGUUGGUGGGGUAAUGGCCUACCAAGCCAACGAUCCAUAGCUGGUUUGAGAGGAUGAUCAGCCACACUGGGACUGAGACACGGCCCAGACUCCUACGGGAGGCAGCAGUGGGGAAUCUUAGACACUGGGGGAAGCCCUGAUCUAGCCAUGCCGCGUGAUGGAUGAAGGCCUUAGGGUUGUAAAGAUCUUUCAGGUGGGAAGAUAAUGACUGUACCACCAGAAGAAGCCCCGGCUAACUCCGUGCCAGCCGCCGCGGUAA
This 449-nucleotide ribosomal RNA is filed under the name uncultured bacterium. RNAcentral describes it as "partial 16S ribosomal RNA". It matches the Rfam family "Bacterial small subunit ribosomal RNA", at positions 29 to 523 of the family's 1533-position model. The record is from RNAcentral.